This 148-nucleotide non-coding RNA is filed under the name Chlorocebus sabaeus (green monkey). Lineage: Eukaryota; Metazoa; Chordata; Mammalia; Primates; Cercopithecidae. The record is from Rfam by way of RNAcentral.
GCCAGGUGUGGUGGCACACGCCUGUAAUCCCAGCUACUUGGGAGGCUGAGGCAUGAGAAUUGCUUGAACCCAGGAGGCAGAGGUUGCAGUGAGCUGAGAUUGUGUCACUGUACUCCAGCCUGGGUGACAAAGCAAGACUCUGCCUCAA